This 440-nucleotide ribosomal RNA is filed under the name uncultured bacterium. RNAcentral's name for it is "partial 16S ribosomal RNA". It matches the Rfam family "Bacterial small subunit ribosomal RNA", at positions 338 to 795 of the family's 1533-position model. The record is from RNAcentral.
CCUACGGGUGGCAGCAGUGGGGAAUAUUGCACAAUGGGGGAAACCCUGAUGCAGCAACGCCGCGUGAGUGAAGAAGUAUUUCGGUAUGUAAAGCUCUAUCAGCAGGGAAGAAGAUGACGGUACCUGAGCAAGAAGCCCCGGCUAACUACGUGCCAGCAGCCGCGGUAAUACGUAGGGGGCAAGCGUUAUCCGGAUUUACUGGGCGUAAAGGGAGCGCAGACGGUGUGUCAAGUCUGAAGUGAAAGCCCGGGGCUCAACCCCGGGACUGCUUUGGAAACUGCCUGACUGGAGUGCAGGAGAGGCAAGCGGAAUUCCUGGUGUAGCGGUGAAAUGCGUAGAUAUUAGGAAGAACACCAGUGGCGAAGGCGGCUUGCUGGACAGUAACUGACGUUGAGGCUCGAAAGCGUGGGGAGCAAACAGGAUUAGAUACCCGGGUAGUC